UACAGAGGUCUCAAGCGUUGUUCGGAUUCAUUGGGCGUAAAGGGUGCGUAGGUGGCGCGGUAAGUCGGGUGUGAAAUCUCGGAGCUUAACUCCGAAAUUGCAUUCGAUACUGUCGUGCUCGAGGACUGGAGAGGAGACUGGAAUUCAUGGUGUAGCAGUGAAAUGCGUAGAGAUCAUGAGGAAGACCAGUGGCGAGGGCGGGUCUCUGGACAGUUCCUGACACUGAGGCACGAAGGCCAGGGGAGCAAACGGG
RNAcentral lists this ribosomal RNA (253 nucleotides) under uncultured bacterium. Its description in RNAcentral is "partial 16S ribosomal RNA". It matches the Rfam family "Bacterial small subunit ribosomal RNA", at positions 524 to 776 of the family's 1533-position model. The record is from RNAcentral.